Long non-coding RNA from Scleropages formosus (Asian bonytongue), 1769 nucleotides. NCBI's taxonomy places the organism in Eukaryota, Metazoa, Chordata, Actinopteri, Osteoglossiformes, Osteoglossidae. The record is from Ensembl.
CAGUUAUAAGUGAGCAGAAGAUGAAGUCCCUCCCAUCUCCGGAGAUGUUUGCAAGGCAGUUUUUUACCCUCCUGUUUACCUGGCUGUUUAGGAUUGGUGGUACAGGUGCCUCUGUGCCGCUCUGCAGUGGUGUUUAACGCACAGGCCGACACCAGCAAUCGGAAACAGUCCGCCCCUCUGCCCACGGUCGCUUCCCCUCCCUCCGCAGUCGGAGAUCGUAACACAGGGACACUGAAGAUGUUCAAGCGCUUUAGCUGGGUGGGAUCCAGUCCCACGUGUCUCCUUCCUACUUUGGAGUCUGAGCCCCAGCAGAUGUCUGAAUUCCCUGAGCUGGACGGAAGGGGAGGAACAGACAAACCCAUCUCUACUAGCGUGUCCAGUGCGACGAACAAAGAAAGGAUGGCAAAUCCGAAGCUGCUGCAGCUGGUGCCCUCCUGGGAUCUGAACCCACAACCUACUGGUCACGUGUCCUGGGAAGAGAGAGAAGCCCGUGAGCUUGCAGCAAAGUGCAGCAGUGGAAGACCUUAAAGAGCUGUCAGAAGUGGGAUUCGAACCCACGCCUCCAGAGGAGACUGCGACCUAAGCGCAGCGCCUUAGACCACUCGGCCAUCCUGACUCCUAUUAGUUAUAUUUGUCACAGCCAGUUCCUCAUUAGUAUAGUGGUGAGUAUCCCCACCUGGACACUUUCUAGUUAUAUACCCAACUCCUUCUGGAUGCCCUCUAGUUAUAUACCCUCCUCCCUUUAGUUAUAAACACAUAUAUAAACUGGAUAAUUUCAGGAAAAUGUCCACCCGAAGAGCUGGAAAAGUGCACAUUUAACUGACAAGCACAAUGACGCGAGCAGCAGCUACAAGCAGAGCCACAAGUAGCUGAGGGACGUGAACGAUGUAAGAGGAUCCAGGUGCGAAAUGGGUCGAUGGCUUUGAUCCUGGAGGUGGCGCCGAGGUCUCCUGCGGGACCACCGUGGCUCAUCGACGCGGGUGUCGGGAUGCACUGUAACACGUCCAAAAGCCUGAGUCGCACGCAGAACUCGGACUGCGUGUGAAGGCGAACAACUGAGUGUGUGUGUGUGUGUGUGUGUGUGUGUGUGUGUGUGUGUGUGUGUGUGUGUGUGUGUGUGUGUGUGUGUGUGUAAGUGGGUGUUUGGGGAGCAGGUACAGCCGAUCAGAGCAAUAUCGACUGAUUAAAAACCCACUGCACAACUCUUUAGUCCCCUACAAGGAGCAGACACAGAAGGGAAGCGGCUCCCCCGGGGCUCAUGGGGGGGGGGGUGUGGGCGGCCUUGCCCUGGAUUCGCAUAAUAAGAUUAUAUCCCAGACUCCUGGGGCCCGUUCCACCCUCCCGGACACUAACAGGCUUCUAGAGGAGGGAGUCCCAGACGCUCCGGGUUCGAGAUUACAAGCGCAAACGCUCCCCCGAUUACUUGGAACGCUAGGUGGCCCCCAGGGGUUUUGAACACCUCCGGCUACAGUGCAGGACCUCCGCGUUCUGGACACGUCACACACCGGCAGGUCUGCUCACUUCCUUCACCACAGCUGGCGCCCAGUUGCUUUAAUACGCUUGUUUUCCUCAUGUCUGUUUGUAUAUGAACUGAGAAAAAAGACCCCGUUAGUUGAGUAUUAGUGUCCGGUUUUCAUACUGUCCCCUCUGCUUACAAACACAACUGGGACUGGAAGUCUGUUUGUAACUCCAUUUGUUUGUAACUCCUAACUUCCCUUUUACCACUAAGUCACAACCAAUAAAAGCCACGUAAUGCAGACGUCCCUUCA